AGUGAACGCUGGCGGUAGGCCUAACACAUGCCAGUCGAACGGCAGCACAGUAAGAGCUUGCUCUUACGGGUGGCGAGUGGCGGACGGGUGAGGAAUACAUCGGAAUCUACUUUUUCGUGGGGGAUAACGUAGGGAAACUUACGCUAAUACCGCAUACGACCUACGGGUGAAAGCAGGGGAUCUUCGGACCUUGCGCGAUUGAAUGAGCCGAUGUCGGAUUAGCUAGUUGGCGGGGUAAAGGCCCACCAAGGCGACGAUCCGUAGCUGGUCUGAGAGGAUGAUCAGCCACACUGGAACUGAGACACGGUCCAGACUCCUACGGGAGGCAGCAGUGGGGAAUAUUGGACAAUGGGCGCAAGCCUGAUCCAGCCAUACCGCGUGGGUGAAGAAGGCCUUCGGGUUGUAAAGCCCUUUUGUAGGGAAAGAAGAGCAGCAGGUUAAUACCCCGCUGUUCUGACGGUACCCAAAGAAUAAGCACCGGCUAACUUCGUG
RNAcentral lists this ribosomal RNA (492 nucleotides) under uncultured bacterium. Its description in RNAcentral is "partial 16S ribosomal RNA". It matches the Rfam family "Bacterial small subunit ribosomal RNA", at positions 29 to 507 of the family's 1533-position model. The record is from RNAcentral.